RNAcentral lists this long non-coding RNA (1122 nucleotides) under Betta splendens (Siamese fighting fish). RNAcentral describes it as "lncRNA (ENSBSLG00000015437.1)". The record is from RNAcentral. Lineage: Eukaryota; Metazoa; Chordata; Actinopteri; Anabantiformes; Osphronemidae.
AAUUUUUUUUAUAUGCAAGUGCUUCUUGUUUGGGUUUCAUAAUUCCAUAUUAGACUAAACCCCAGUACUCCUUGCUGUCAUGUUUAUUGCUGUUGUUUCCAGGAGACGGAGAAGCGUUUCGACCCUUUCCCCAUCGUCCACCCUUUGCACCUCUCUCCUCUUGACCAGGUGAAUGUUGCCAGCUGCUGCUCCCUGCUGCCAAAAUGCCUCGUCCUUCCUGACUUCAUGUUUGAUUCUGCUUCGGAUUUGCUGCCCGUGGAAAGUGAAGCUUGUUCAGUGGACACAGCACACAAGUCCAACAUCCUGUGAAGGGGGCAUAUUUGCCAGUGCUGCUUUGAAGAUCCUCGCAGAGCUUCUGCACAGACUUUGGUCAGUAAUAAAUAGGAAUUCCCCCGAGGGCAGGGCUCAUAGCUGCUGUUUAUGUUGACCAAUGGAACCACAGUCUGGAAACCGGAGGAGUAACGCUUUCGGGAUGGAAGCAGGUGGGUUCUGGGCUUCAAAGACCAAAAGAUAAUCUGCUGAAAAAAGUAUAAAGCCUGGCUCUAAAAUGUGCUGAACAUCUACGAGCUCCUGCUCACAAAGACACAAGGCUCAUCAUGUGGUUUGAGCCGGCCCAGGAAUGCUUUGAUGCCAUGGAUUCUCUAACUUUUGUUAGUUUAUUUGACUGAGUUUUUAUGUAUAAUAUGUAUUCCAAAUGCUAGCUCUUUAUGGAACUUAAGAGAGAUCCAGAAGAAAUAACCUUGGAGUUCAGGGCUUGUGCUAAAGCAUCAGUUGAUUCAAAGGCUCAGCUGCAAAGUCGUCCAUAGCGCAGAGGGAGAAGUGCCAGGUCAAUCGCUGGAUAAAUUGUAUCAAAAAAUUGUACUAAUGGUGAGCAUAGGAGAUUUUUCAUAUCAGACCUGUAUCUCUUAAAUGCUCUGUGUAGAAUGAAAAUGUAGAAAUAUUGAUCUAUGUUUUUUUUUUUUUUUAAGAAUGAUUUUUGGUGCUGCACAUUCCCAGCUUUUGCUCUUAGAUGCAUUUUAACAUGUCAAAUGUGUACAAACAGCCGGUUCAAUAACUAUGUAUCAAUAUUUUGCAGGGCUAAGGCUUUGAUUAAAUAAAUCAUAUUGUUUGUUAGUUGAGACA